Manis javanica (Malayan pangolin) is the source of this 2156-nucleotide long non-coding RNA. RefSeq lists it as uncharacterized. The record is from RefSeq and is a predicted model, not a curated record. Lineage: Eukaryota; Metazoa; Chordata; Mammalia; Pholidota; Manidae.
GUCAGUGUUCAUACCACACGCUGGGCUCUUGGCUCCAUGUGGCAGAACCCCUGGCACUGGCCUGUCACCGGGUGGAAGGAGCUGGCCCGGGAAACCCCCUGCUCACAUCCCACCAACCAGGCGCCUCCCCAGGCUCCCACCACGGAAGGCGGGCCCCGGCCCUGCCGUUGGGUUUGCAGAGACAGUGACUGUCAGUCCUGGGAAGCACCCAGGCCCUUUCUGCAGAAGGCCAUGGGAAGUGCUCGCCCUGCUGCUGGCUGCACAGCCGUGUCCCAUCCGCUUGGCUCUGCCCCUGGGCUUCGGAGUGGACACAAAGGCAGUCUCGAGUUUCCUCCUGUGUUUCCCCUUCAGUUUGGACUUUACUGAAGAGUCUUUAUAAAAAACUACAACGCGGGUCCUUAAGGUCUGCGGAACGGCACGUUUCCCACCUGGGGACACGGCUCCUCCUCCGGUUCUGACCACAGAGGGCCCACCAGGCCAGGUCCUCCUGCAGGGCACCAGGGCGGCAAGGCCCAGCCCCAUGCAGAGGCUGUGCCCGCUGCACCUUGAUUUGCGAAUCAAAGGCCUAGAGUGAUGUUUGCUGCCCGACUUGGGAAGCUCCUCUCCUUACAAUUCACCUAAACAGUGAAAGAAAGUGAAGAAAUCACGAAUUUUACUUUUGCUGACCAGCAUCCGAGGGCAGUUGCACGUGCUGUUUUGGUAAUAACCAAACUUACAUAUGGAGCUUUCAGAAGGAAACAGAUGCUGCAAGAAUUUGCAUGAAGUUCUGAAAAAGAUUCCUUAUUGGAAGUUCGGGUGGGAAAACAGUGCUCCAUCUGAACGACCUCUCUGAGCUGUGAGCCACCCUUCCUGGCGCAUGUGGCCUGCAGAGCUGGGCUGCCUGCUGGGAUGGGAAUCUGUGGGCGUCCCCUGUCCAGCAGAUGUAAUGGGGACUGUCUCCCAUGCCUAGGCUGGUGUGAAGGAGCCGGGCAGAGCGCUGGAACGCCCCACGCAGUCCGGGCCCGAGGGUACGGUGGCGCAGAGAAUGCACGACUCGGAGCCAGCCGGCCCUGAGCCUCUCUCCCUCUCCCUCUCCCUGGGAGGAGGAGGUGCAGGCGGCGCGCCCACAGGCCUCGGGGCCAAGGGAGAUGCCUCUGUGUUUUUCUCUAAGAUCAUCCCCACAGCCUCACACGGCCAAGUGCUGGUGAUCCUUCCGUAUGGGAGGGGUGAGCGGCUGGAGCAAGGAGACCAAACCAGGGCCCGGAGCCUCUGCGGGCCCACAGAGCGCCGCAGGCGCGAGAACGCAUGUCCCCGGGCAGAGGAGGGGGCUGAGCUCCUGCCCGGCCCUGUGGUCGCAGGUAAGAGACAGGGACUCACCUCCCUGCUCACUGCAGUCAAGACAGACGGAGACCCUGCGGUCCAGACCCGCGAGGAAACGGAUCGCGGGCUUGGUGCAAAUGGCGGCCGGCCAGGCAAAGCAAACCCUGCUCAAGUCAGACAUCACGCAGGGUCAGAACACCCAGGCAGAAGGGAAUGGGAGCGAGGCAGGUGGCCACGGCGCACUUCCAUUCACAGAAAAAGGGUCGCCUCACUGGACAGCCUGCUGACCUUGGCAAAAUUUACCUGACAGGUGAGAAAACCCAAUUACCAGGGUUUCUGGCCCCAAGAGCAGCCUCUCUCUAGAGGGGAAAUGGGGAGGUGCGGCACACUGAGAAGCAUGACCCAGCCUGGCAGCGGGGCUCCCCACCCACGAAGGCACAGAGGUGAAGUCUGCCACGGCUGGGCAAGGGGGCCGUGGACAGGGAGUAUACAAGGAGCUCUCUGCCCUGGAGCAGUCUGUGCUGCGUUGGGGCAGCCCCCCGCCCAUGCGAGGCCACCUCCGAGGGGCGCAGGAUGAAGGAGAGAAGGAGCCAUAGACAACCGGCUGUGAGGAGCAUGGCCACGUGAUGACAGGACCCAGGAAGGGAAGGAGCGCAGGCAGGGCCACCUGGGAAGGGACGGGACACAGCAGCACCAGUGGCUUUGGGACCACACUGAAGGGAGACAGUUCCAGCUGUGGGGUGGCUGUAGAAAUCAGCUGGACAGCCUGGCCCCUGCAGCCUGUGGUAGGUGCCACGGAACACAGUCAGCCUGCGAGUACAGAGCUUGGAGACCAUGCAGCUCUGGCAGGUGCAUGG